AGUCGAGCGAGAAGACGUAGCAAUACGUUUGUAAAGCGGCGAACGGGUGAGGAAUACAUGGGUAACCUACCCUCGAGUGGGGAAUAACUAGCCGAAAGGUUAGCUAAUACCGCGUACGCUCCUUGGACUUCGGUUCAGGGAGGAAAGCGAUGCCGUGGGUAUCGCGCUCUUGGAUGGGCUCAUGUCCUAUCAGCUUGUUGGUGAGGUAACGGCUCACCAAGGCUUCGACGGGUAGCUGGUCUGAGAGGACGAUCAGCCACACUGGCACUGCGACACGGGCCAGACUCCUACGGGAGGCAGCAGUAAGGAAUAUUGCGCAAUGGGCGAAAGCCUGACGCAGCGACGCCGCGUGGGGGAUGAAGGUCUUCGGAUUGUAAACCCCUUUCGGGAGGGAAGAUGGAGCGAGCAAUCGUUCGGACGGUACC
RNAcentral lists this ribosomal RNA (425 nucleotides) under uncultured bacterium. Its description in RNAcentral is "bacterial SSU rRNA". It matches the Rfam family "Bacterial small subunit ribosomal RNA", at positions 60 to 479 of the family's 1533-position model. The record is from RNAcentral.